GAGUCAAUUCCUAUGUUCCAUUACCCAUGAGUGAUUUGUAUUCUUCUUCCAUAGCAUUCUCCCACUUCAUAGCAUCUGUGGACUUUAUUGCAUCACAUAAACUCAACGGAUCAAUAAGAAGUGUAACAUUGGCAUGUUCUUUACUUACUUGAGGAAAAAUAUGGUCCUUCGACCAUUCAACACGUUGUUUUCUAUCUCUCAAAAGAUAUCUCCUUUCAUUUGAAGAAGACUCAACUUAUUGUACUCUAUGGUCACCUCCAACCUUCUUUUCUUUUGAAGAUAAUCUUUUCUCACUUAAAGGUUCAUAAUCCUCAUCACCAUCAUCAUCAACAUCUUCAUGCUCUUUAUUGCUAGUCUUAGUAAUUGUAGAGGCCUUCUUGUCCACCUUCUUUGCCUCUUCAUCUUCAUUUCCACCUUUACAACCAUCAUUGUCAAUGUCUUCUUCCUUCUUUGCUGAAUUUGAAGAUGUAUCCACGAACACACUAUUACUCCCACUUAGACACAUCUCCAAGUGCUCACAAGUACUCUUCUACUCCAAAAACUCAACAUCAAGACUUUUGAUGA
RNAcentral lists this long non-coding RNA (564 nucleotides) under Physcomitrium patens. RNAcentral's name for it is "long non-coding RNA (PPAT_LNC012572)". The record is from RNAcentral. Lineage: Eukaryota; Viridiplantae; Streptophyta; Bryopsida; Funariales; Funariaceae.